Non-coding RNA from Gossypium raimondii (Peruvian cotton), 123 nucleotides. The record is from Rfam. Lineage: Eukaryota; Viridiplantae; Streptophyta; Magnoliopsida; Malvales; Malvaceae.
AAUAGGAGAAUGACAAAUCAGAUUUUUCCUCCUGAUUUUCAGUUUUUUCCCCCUAAAAAAAUUUAAAUCAAACUAAAAAUGUUGAAAAUUAGGAGGAAAAAUCUGAUUUGUCAUUCUCCCAUU